Molecule: transfer RNA, 86 nt
Filed under: Gordonia paraffinivorans
Lineage: Bacteria; Bacillati; Actinomycetota; Actinomycetes; Mycobacteriales; Gordoniaceae
Description: tRNA-Glu(ctc)
Source: RNAcentral
GCGUCGAGCGCGUCGACCGCGCCGUCGAGGCUCUCGACCUUGACCAGUUCCAGACCGUCCGGCCGUUCGGAGACGGCCUCCGCGCA